This 434-nucleotide ribosomal RNA is filed under the name uncultured Ruminococcus sp. Its description in RNAcentral is "bacterial SSU rRNA". It matches the Rfam family "Bacterial small subunit ribosomal RNA", at positions 341 to 792 of the family's 1533-position model. Lineage: Bacteria; Bacillati; Bacillota; Clostridia; Eubacteriales; Oscillospiraceae. The record is from RNAcentral.
ACGGAAGGCAGCAGUGGGGAAUAUUGCACAAUGGGGGAAACCCUGAUGCAGCGAUGCCGCGUGGAGGAAGAAGGUUUUCGGAUUGUAAACUCCUGUCUUAAAGGACGAUAAUGACGGUACUUUAGGAGGAAGCUCCGGCUAACUACGUGCCAGCAGCCGCGGUAAUACGUAGGGAGCGAGCGUUGUCCGGAAUUACUGGGUGUAAAGGGAGCGUAGGCGGGACUGCAAGUCAGAUGUGAAAUGCCGGGGCGUAACCCCGGAGCUGCAUUUGAAACUGUGGUUCUUGAGUGAAGUAGAGGCAAGCGGAAUUCCUGGUGUAGCGGUGAAAUGCGUAGAUAUCAGGAGGAACACCGGUGGCGAAGGCGGCUUGCUGGGCUUUUACUGACGCUGAGGCUCGAAAGCGUGGGUAGCAAACAGGAUUAGAUACCCUGGUA